RNAcentral lists this unclassified non-coding RNA (263 nucleotides) under plant metagenome. RNAcentral describes it as "partial contains small subunit ribosomal RNA, internal transcribed spacer 1, and 5.8S ribosomal RNA". The record is from RNAcentral.
UUUCCGUAGGUGAACCUGCGGAAGGAUCAUUAUUGUAUAACCGAGGUGCGAGGGCUGUCGCUGACCCGAAAGGUCGUGCACGCCCGAGUGCCCUCACACGCAUCCGUCUCACCCCUAUGUGCACCACCGCGUGGGUCCCCCUUUGGCUUGUUCGGAGGGGGGCUUACGUUUUCACACAAACUUUGUAUGCAGUGUAGAAUGUAUUUUUUGUUUUUGCGAUCACGCAAUCAAUACAACUUUCAACAACGGAUCUCUUGGCUCUC